This 465-nucleotide ribosomal RNA is filed under the name Vreelandella stevensii. RNAcentral's name for it is "partial 16S ribosomal RNA". It matches the Rfam family "Bacterial small subunit ribosomal RNA", at positions 338 to 795 of the family's 1533-position model. The record is from RNAcentral. Lineage: Bacteria; Pseudomonadati; Pseudomonadota; Gammaproteobacteria; Oceanospirillales; Halomonadaceae.
CCUACGGGAGGCUGCAGUGGGGAAUAUUGGACAAUGGGGGUAACCCUGAUCCAGCCAUGCCGCGUGUGUGAAGAAGGCCCUCGGGUUGUAAAGCACUUUCAGUGAGGAAGAACGCCUGGUGGUUAAUACCCAUCAGGAAAGACAUCACUCACAGAAGAAGCACCGGCUAACUCCGUGCCAGCAGCCGCGGUAAUACGGAGGGUGCGAGCGUUAAUCGGAAUUACUGGGCGUAAAGCGCGCGUAGGUGGCUUGAUAAGCCGGUUGUGAAAGCCCCGGGCUCAACCUGGGAACGGCAUCCGGAACUGUCAAGCUAGAGUGCAGGAGAGGAAGGUAGAAUUCCCGGUGUAGCGGUGAAAUGCGUAGAGAUCGGGAGGAAUACCAGUGGCGAAGGCGGCCUUCUGGACUGACACUGACACUGAGGUGCGAAAGCGUGGGUAGCAAACAGGAUUAGAUACCCCGGUAGUC